Molecule: ribosomal RNA, 336 nt
Filed under: uncultured soil bacterium
Lineage: Bacteria
Description: bacterial SSU rRNA
Rfam family: Bacterial small subunit ribosomal RNA
Source: RNAcentral
AGAUUGAACGCUGGCGGCAGGCCUAACACAUGCAAGUCAAGCGGCAGCACGGGUACUUGUACCUGGUGGCGAGCGGCGGACGGGUGAGUAAUGCCUAGGAAUCUGCCUGGUAGUGGGGGAUAACGCUCGGAAACGGACGCUAAUACCGCAUACGUCCUACGGGAGAAAGCAGGGGACCUUCGGGCCUUGCGCUAUCAGAUGAGCCUAGGUCGGAUUAGCUAGUUGGUGAGGUAAUGGCUCACCAAGGCGACGAUCCGUAACUGGUCUGAGAGGAUGAUCAGUCACACUGGAACUGAGACACGGUCCAGACUCCUACGGGAGCAGCAGUGGGGAAUA